UAGGAUCACAGUCCUGACUCUGUUGGCCUU
RNAcentral lists this non-coding RNA (30 nucleotides) under Rattus norvegicus (Norway rat). The record is from RNAcentral. Lineage: Eukaryota; Metazoa; Chordata; Mammalia; Rodentia; Muridae.